RNAcentral lists this long non-coding RNA (1535 nucleotides) under Salmo salar (Atlantic salmon). RNAcentral describes it as "lncRNA (ENSSSAG00000111700.1)". Lineage: Eukaryota; Metazoa; Chordata; Actinopteri; Salmoniformes; Salmonidae. The record is from RNAcentral.
AAAAUGGCCAGAAACAAAUUACUUUCUCAUUCUCAUCUCAUUCCAAAAUCAUGGGCAUUAAUAUGGAGUUGGUCUCCCCUUUGCUGCUAUAACAGCCUCCACUCUUCUGGGAAGGCUUUCCACUAGAUGUUGGAACAUUGCUGCGGGUACGUGCUUCCAUUCAGCCACAAGCACAUUAGUGAAGUCGGGCACUGAUGAUGGGCGAUUAGGCCUGGUUCGCAAUCGGUGUUCCAAUUAAUCUCAAAGGUAUUCAAUGGGGUUGAAGUCAGGGCUCUGCGCAGGCCAGUGAAGUUCUUCCACGCCGAUCUCAACAAACCAUUUCUGUAUGGACCUCGCUUUGUGCACGGGGGCAUUGUCAUGCUGGAACAUGAAAGGGCCUUCCCCAAACUUCGCUCUUGCACAGGGGCGGCAGCGUAGCCUAGUGGGGCAGGUUGCAAGAUCGAAUCCCCGAGCUGACAAGGUACAAAUCUGUCGUUCUGCCCCUGAACAAGGCAGUUAACCCACUGUUCCUAGGCCAUCAUUGAAAAUAAGAAUUUGUUCUUAACUGACUUGCCUAGUUAAAUAAAGGUAAAAUUAAAAAAAACUGUUGCCACAAACUUGGAAGCACAGAAUUGUCUAGAAUGUCAUUAUAUGCUGUAGCAUUAAGACUUCCCUUCACUGUAACUAAGGGGCCUAGCCCAAACCAUGAAAAACAGCCCCAGACCAUUAUUCCUCCUCCACCAGAUGUUAUAGUUGGCACUAUGUUAUAGUUGGCACAGGUAGCGUUCUCCUGGCAUCGACCAGAUGGUGAAGCGUGAUUCAUCACUCCAGAGAAUGCAUUUCCACUGCUCCAGAUGCCAAUGGCGGCGAGCUUUACACCACUCCAGCCGACGCGUGGCAUUGCACAUGGUGAUCUUAGGCUUGUGUGCGGCUGCUCGGCCAUGGAAUCCAAUUUCAUGAAGCUCCCGACGAACAGUUCUUGUGCUGACGUUGCUUCCAGAGGCAGUUUGGAACUCGGUAAACUACAAAUGCCUGUCUCAAGCUUCACAUCACCAGGGCCAUGAUGAUCUGGACGAGACUGCCGAAUUGAGGCAAAGGCCGGUGGUAGCUGGUCCCCUGCAGGAAGGUGAGGUACCGGAAGUCCCUCCGGAUCCUCUGGACAUCGGGGGCUCCCCGGCGUAAAGCAUAAGGGCCAUUCUGGACUCGAGACGCCGGGUCAGGGGCCUGCAGUACCUCGUGGACUGGGAGGGUUACGGCCCGGAGGAGAGGUGCUGGGUACCGGUGGAGGACGUCUUGGACCCGUCCCUGUUGAGGGAUUUCCAUCGCCUCCACCCGGAGCACCCUGCGCCUCGCCCUCCGGGUCGCCCUCAAGGCCGGUGUCGGCGCGCUGCGGGAGCCGCGCGUCAGUGGGGGGGUACUGUCACGACUCCUACCGAAGGUGGCCCCCCCUCCUGCUCGGGUGGCGCUCGGCGGUCGUCGUCACCGGCCUACUAGCUGCCACUGAUUCCCUUUUUGUUUUCCCCCUUUUCGUUAUUAGGUGCACCUGUUCUGAGUUG